AGAUAGAUCGAGAUUGCACAGUACUCGAGGUAGAAAACGCUAUAGUGUGCCGCUUCAUCAACAAAGCAAGAAGUCCUCAAACUAAGUUUGCCAAUCAUGGUUCAGCUGGUGUCAUGGUAAUCAGUUUUGUAUUCUGCUGAGAGAUGGAAGAAGGUGCCGCAGAGGUGGGAGAAAGCCAGAUGGAUAUUACGCUGACUUUUGAGGAAUGGAAGGCAAACAAAAGGGUAACGGGGGAGGAAGACUUUCUGGCUCUCCAUCCACUCAAAGGUCAGCACUGUCAGGACGGCUUGCGACUGGUCAACGGUGCAAACUGGAGUGUCAAAGUUCACUGAAGGUGUACUUAAUUUCACCUCCUCCAAUCAUGGUGACUCCAAUAAAUGAACUGAU
Non-coding RNA from Epinephelus lanceolatus (giant grouper), 387 nucleotides. The record is from RefSeq and is a predicted model, not a curated record. NCBI's taxonomy places the organism in Eukaryota, Metazoa, Chordata, Actinopteri, Perciformes, Serranidae.